AUCCCUGUGGAAUAGAAUGGUUCCUAAUAUCACGUAUCAGUUAGAUGACCAAGUUAGGACCUUCAUGGCUGCUGCAGCUCAGAUCAAUGGAAUACAGUCGGGGAUGCAGCGACCACACCCACAUGAGGGUUAGACCCUCUGAUUGGAUAUCAUUGGGAUGACUUGAACACUGCAAUGGCCGUCAUGCAAAUUGAUCAAGGGAUAGGACAACGACACUUACAAGAAGCAGCUCGGGGGAACAUUCCUGUUAAUGCAAGGAAUACCUGAAGUCAAAAGGCCUGCACGUCUCCAUUUGCAUUCGUGUCGACCAGGAGUGACGUUAAUGGAGACGGAGAGGAACAAACACAUCAGAACGUUGGGGAUGACGGAGACAGAAGAUGGAGGAACACCAGUGGGACAUCUGCACCAGAGGCUGCUUUAUCAAAUGGCUUUAAUUCAAGCUUUUUCAUUGCCAAUAUCAUAUCAAACAGGAGUUCAAAUGAAUUUGUUUCCAACUGUAUAACAUUUAUCACAAGG
RNAcentral lists this long non-coding RNA (516 nucleotides) under Gouania willdenowi (blunt-snouted clingfish). Its description in RNAcentral is "lncRNA (ENSGWIG00000003630.1)". Lineage: Eukaryota; Metazoa; Chordata; Actinopteri; Blenniiformes; Gobiesocidae. The record is from RNAcentral.